RNAcentral lists this ribosomal RNA (292 nucleotides) under uncultured prokaryote. Its description in RNAcentral is "partial 16S ribosomal RNA". It matches the Rfam family "Bacterial small subunit ribosomal RNA", at positions 505 to 796 of the family's 1533-position model. The record is from RNAcentral.
GUGCCAGCAGCCGCGGUAAUACGUAGGGCGCAAGCGUUGUCCGGAAUUAUUGGGCGUAAAGAGCUCGUAGGCGGUUUGUCGCGUCUGGUGUGAAAACUCAAGGCUCAACCUUGAGCUUGCAUCGGGUACGGGCAGACUAGAGUGUGGUAGGGGUGACUGGAAUUCCUGGUGUAGCGGUGGAAUGCGCAGAUAUCAGGAGGAACACCGAUGGCGAAGGCAGGUCACUGGGCCACUACUGACGCUGAGGAGCGAAAGCAUGGGGAGCGAACAGGAUUAGAUACCCUCGUAGUCC